Molecule: transfer RNA, 77 nt
Filed under: Mycoplasmataceae bacterium
Lineage: Bacteria; Bacillati; Mycoplasmatota; Mollicutes; Mycoplasmatales; Mycoplasmataceae
Description: tRNA-Glu
Rfam family: tRNA
About the family: Transfer RNA (tRNA) molecules are approximately 80 nucleotides in length. Their secondary structure includes four short double-helical elements and three loops (D, anti-codon, and T loops). Further hydrogen bonds mediate the characteristic L-shaped molecular structure. tRNAs have two regions of fundamental functional importance: the anti-codon, which is responsible for specific mRNA codon recognition, and the 3' end, to which the tRNAs corresponding amino acid is attached (by aminoacyl-tRNA synthetases). tRNAs cope with the degeneracy of the genetic code in two manners: having more than one tRNA (with a specific anti-codon) for a particular amino acid; and 'wobble' base-pairing, i.e. permitting non-standard base-pairing at the 3rd anti-codon position.
Source: RNAcentral
GGCCCGUUGGUGAAGCGAUUUAACACUCACGCCUCUCAAGCGUGCAUUCAUGGGUUUGAAUCCCGUACGGGUCACCA